RNAcentral lists this ribosomal RNA (500 nucleotides) under uncultured bacterium. Its description in RNAcentral is "bacterial SSU rRNA". It matches the Rfam family "Bacterial small subunit ribosomal RNA", at positions 501 to 1000 of the family's 1533-position model. The record is from RNAcentral.
CUACGUGCCAGCAGCCGCGGUAAUACGUAGGUCCCGAGCGUUAUCCGGAUUUAUUGGGCGUAAAGCGAGCGCAGGCGGUUAGAUAAGUCUGAAGUUAAAGGCUGUGGCUUAACCAUAGUACGCUUUGGAAACUGUUUAACUUGAGUGCAGAAGGGGAGAGUGGAAUUCCAUGUGUAGCGGUGAAAUGCGUAGAUAUAUGGAGGAACACCGGUGGCGAAAGCGGCUCUCUGGUCUGUAACUGACGCUGAGGCUCGAAAGCGUGGGGAGCAAACAGGAUUAGAUACCCUGGUAGUCCACGCCGUAAACGAUGAGUGCUAGGUGUUGGGUCCUUUCCGGGACUCAGUGCCGCAGCUAACGCAUUAAGCACUCCGCCUGGGGAGUACGACCGCAAGGUUGAAACUCAAAGGAAUUGACGGGGGCCCGCACAAGCGGUGGAGCAUGUGGUUUAAUUCGAUGCAACGCGAAGAACCUUACCUACUCUUGACAUCCAGAGAACAUUC